RNAcentral lists this ribosomal RNA (156 nucleotides) under uncultured Burkholderia sp. Its description in RNAcentral is "partial 16S ribosomal RNA". It matches the Rfam family "Bacterial small subunit ribosomal RNA", at positions 335 to 484 of the family's 1533-position model. Lineage: Bacteria; Pseudomonadati; Pseudomonadota; Betaproteobacteria; Burkholderiales; Burkholderiaceae. The record is from RNAcentral.
ACUCCUACGGGAGGCAGCAGUGGGGAAUUUUGGACAAUGGGGGCAACCCUGAUCCAGCAAUGCCGCGUGUGUGAAGAAGGCCUUCGGGUUGUAAAGCACUUUUGUCCGGAAAGAAAACGUCGUGGCUAAUACCCGUGGCGGAUGACGUACCGAAGA